This 250-nucleotide ribosomal RNA is filed under the name uncultured bacterium. RNAcentral's name for it is "partial 16S ribosomal RNA". It matches the Rfam family "Bacterial small subunit ribosomal RNA", at positions 524 to 773 of the family's 1533-position model. The record is from RNAcentral.
UACGUAGGGAGCGAGCGUUGUCCGGAAUUACUGGGUGUAAAGGGAGUGUAGGCGGGACGGCAAGUCAGGUGUGAAAUUUAUGGGCUCAACCCAUAACGUGCACUUGAAACUGCUGUUCUUGAGUGAAGUAGAGGCAGGCGGAAUUCCUAGUGUAGCGGUGAAAUGCGUAGAUAUUAGGAGGAACAUCAGUGGCGAAGGCGGCCUGCUGGGCUUUUACUGACGCUGAGGCUCGAAAGCGUGGGGAGCAAAC